GCUUACGACCAUAACACCCUGAAUACGCCUGAUCUCGGAAACUAGGCAGAGCUGGGCCUCGUGAGCACUUGGAUGGGAGAGCACCUGGGAAUGCCAGGUGCUGUAAGCA
Scleropages formosus (Asian bonytongue) is the source of this 109-nucleotide ribosomal RNA. The record is from Rfam. NCBI's taxonomy places the organism in Eukaryota, Metazoa, Chordata, Actinopteri, Osteoglossiformes, Osteoglossidae.